UCUCCGUUGGUGAACCAGCGGAGGGAUCAUUACCGAGUGCAAACUCAUAACCCUUUGUGAACCUACAUCUGUUGCUUCGGCGGCUCGCUCUCGGGCGAGCCCGCCGGUAAUAUCAGUAUCUCUGUUUGAACCCGACGAUACUUCUGAGUGUUCUUAGCGAACAGUUAAAACUUUUAACAACGGAUCUCUUGGCUCUA
RNAcentral lists this unclassified non-coding RNA (197 nucleotides) under plant metagenome. RNAcentral's name for it is "partial contains small subunit ribosomal RNA, internal transcribed spacer 1, and 5.8S ribosomal RNA". The record is from RNAcentral.